AGUCAAUAAUCUCAGUUUUCUGAUUCAGGGUAGAAAGGGGGAAAAUCGGAGACGGAGACGGAGACUGAGACUAGAAGGAAGAGAGAGCAAUGAAAUCGCCGAGAUGGGGAUAUGUUAGAAUUAUAUCAGGAACUAUUUUUGGAGGCAUUUUUGGAUUCUAUCUUAUGCAUCGCGCUGAACUUCAGUACAAGGAAAUGUGGAACGAGAGAUUGAAGAAGUAUGAGGAGGAGCUCAAAAUGAAGCAAAGUAUGGAGGCGCAUACCCCCACUGAGUUGUCAGGAGAUCAUCUUGCGAGAUAGACUCCCCUUGUUGUGUGAUGCCAUCUGAGAGCAAAAAAACAUGGUUGUCAAAGUGUACCUACCGAUGUGUUUGUUAUACUAUAAAAACUGUGAGGACAAGCAUUUCAUGGAGAAAUUGAAGUAUAAAUGGUGUUUGAUUAUGCAGUUUGGGCGUCUACAAACCACUUUCUCUCCCCUUCUAAUUAGUUUACAUACAUCAUGUACCUCAUUUCUAGAAGUUUAUAUCCUCUAUAUCUAGACUGAAAAGUAUCCUGAGAUUGACAGCUUAAUUUAUUUCCUCUGAAGAAAAGGUAUUCAGCAUCUUGUUCUUUGAAUUCUCAAAGUGGAACUGAUACAAAUUGGUGCCUUCAUUCUUGAGAACUGAGUAAGAAAUUCACUUGUUUUUGAAGAAAGUAUUUUCCAUGAAAA
Long non-coding RNA from Solanum pennellii, 707 nucleotides. RefSeq lists it as uncharacterized. The record is from RefSeq and is a predicted model, not a curated record. Lineage: Eukaryota; Viridiplantae; Streptophyta; Magnoliopsida; Solanales; Solanaceae. The transcript is spliced from 3 exons.